AUGUAGUGUAGCAUGUCCGUUUGGUGAAUCACUCUGAUGAAUGUUUUAUAUUUAAAUACUUUUGGGUAACGGGGUGUUACAACA
RNAcentral lists this microRNA precursor (84 nucleotides) under Medicago truncatula (barrel medic). RNAcentral's name for it is "MIR2617 microRNA precursor family". It matches the Rfam family "MIR2617 microRNA precursor family". The record is from Rfam by way of RNAcentral. Lineage: Eukaryota; Viridiplantae; Streptophyta; Magnoliopsida; Fabales; Fabaceae.